UGAAAUCAAUUUUUUUGAAAUCCGUUGUUGAAGUUUUAUUGCUACGUGAUGUUGAUUUCAGGUUCUGCUGUUCUUGAUUUCUUUGAUCUAUUGCUGUAAAGGAACACUCGUUGUGGAUUUUUGGAUUAUUGAUUUCAAGAAUUUCGUAAUUCUUUUAAUCUUAUUUUAUUGGAUUGUUGAUCAGUUAUCGAGACUUGUUUGCAUAAUUUGUGGAUUAUUGGAUGUAAUUCUUCAUCAUUGGAUAACCGAUAUACUGUUUAUCCCUUUUGCAGCGAGAUGAAUCUAGAUCAAUUUUGUGAUCCUUGAAAAUCUGGAUAGCAACAGAGAAUGGUUCAGAUAAAUCGAAUUGAACUUUGAACAUGAUUUCAUUCCUUGAUCUGGAUAGAACGUAUCUUAGUUUUGUUUGCUUCGUCAUGUUUCGAUUUCAGGAUUUGCCUUUUGCAGUGAGCUGAUAAGUUUUUGAUGUCUAGAGCAGACAUGAUACAAUAGAUAAGAUUGGAGAACGGUCCCCGAUAGAUAAAUCAAAUUUCUUCAAUGAAUCUUUUUUUACUACUAUUUAUUUUUCGGAUUUGAUUUUAAGACGCGGAAUUGAAUUAAGAACUUGCUUUUCUGCAGUGUAGUUUGUCAAAAUGUUAACCUUCUUCGUAGCAUCGAGAUGGAGCCUAGAAUUAUGAUUUGGUGAUAGCCUGUUUUUCUGCAGCGCAGUUUGUCAAAAUGUUAACCUUCUUCAUAGCAUGGUUUGUGUAUACAAUAUAUGAACAAUAUGAAUUCAUAGAGGAGAAGACAAAAAGGAACUAAUCACUAUUUACAUCGAUGCAAUCAUGAAGAAAAAAUAAAUAAUAAUAAGUAAUAUAAAAUCUAAUCUUUAAAGAUAUUCUAAGAUACUUUAAUAUAAUAUUUAAGACACUAAAGAUAUUUUUGGAUGUUUUAAUGGGUUGAUCUUCAUGUUAUGUAAUUUUUUUUAGGUUUUAUUUGGUUGUUGGUAUUGAUCUUAAAGUUUGUUGUUCUAUUUUUAUUGAUCUGCUACUAUUGUUAAGUUUCUUUUGUCGAUUGUUUUGGGAAACAGAUAGAUGCAUGCUUAUUACCUCUCGUAGAAUUGUGAAUUGAAUACAUGUACCUGUUUACUGUAGUGUAGUAUGUUUGGAAACGAAGAAUUCAGUUAUGAAGCAAUCAGGUUUAUUUUCGUACACACUUCUUGGAUUGUGAAUUAUUUUCAAUUCAUUUAUUCUCGGUGGAGUUUUAUUGUGCAAUCUUGUUGACGAGUCUAUUUUGAUGACAAGUUUAUUGAGGUGUGGUGAAUGUUGGUAUUGAAAAGUUUCCUUAUGCAUCAAUACAUUUAAGUUUUUGAUUUGUAAUCUGACAGUGUGAAAGUUACAAAAUUCUGGAUAAAUUGAGAGUGAAUAGCGUUGUGAAGCUCGCUUCCUAACUAUGAUCAGGGACUCGGUUUGGAUGAUUAUGUUACUCUAUUUAUUCAUAGCUUUUUCUACAACUAUUUGUCACAUCCCGAUUUUAUUGAACAAGUAUGAUGUAUCAUCUGGUGUUCACAGGGUGCCACAGAAGUCUUCCUUCUCAAUCCCCUUGUUAACUUUUCUGUCUGAAGUGGAUAAGUUACCUUGUCAUGUUUUGCUGGGAUUAAUUUGGUGAUGUGAUUUGAGAUUUUAACAUCUCUGCUUACAUGAUUCUUGAUUAUUCCCUGCUAUCUUGGGUGAGAUUAUCUGAUAAUGGUUAUUCUUUGAUCAUGUUCAAGAUGGUGUUGAUUGUGUAUCCACUAUCCAGAACCUUUGUACUACUCUAGCAAAGAUUACAGGAUUUUGGAAUGACUCUUUGGCCUUUCCAAGGUUAGGAAUUUUGGACAACUGGAUAUAAUUUGAUUCUGAUUAUUUGUUUGUUGGUGAUAACUUAACUUUGUUAGGGAGGUUUUCUAAAUCUUCAUUAUUGUUUUUAUUGUGAUUUGUGAUUGAUGAUGAUGAUGAUGAUACUCCUAAAAAAAUACCUUCUUCAUUAUAGUGGCCAAAGGACUCUUCAGUAUUUGGAAGAAGCCAAAAUCAUGUUAUUUCAUAUGGGUACAUGAUUGCAAAUUGGAUUGAAAUUUGGUCAACUCUUCUAAGACUCUUCUUUACAUUUAUACUCAACACAUAAAAGGUCAGUUCCUUUGAGUUUUCUUUGUGGUUGUUAUAGGCGACAGAGCCUAUAAUGUGGUUGUUAUAGGGGAGAGAGCCUAUAAAUGUGUGGUUCACUGUGGAACCCAUGUCAGACAGAGGUUCACAUACUUGCUGUUCAGCUUGGGAUUUUGGAUGGUGUCUGAAUCUGCAAUUGGCUACUGUUGAUGUGCUUUCAUUUGGUUAUCUCUACUCUGACUAUGCAUUUUUCAUGUUGCUUUGUAUAUUUUGAGGAUAUAGUUUUCUUGAUUCCAAGGACUUGGUUUGUUUUGGUGUUAUAUAGGAGAGAGCUGUGAAUGUACUGUCGGAUUUGAAAGUUUUGAGCCUUUUGAUUCAACAGGUUACUUUUUUCCUGGAGUGUUUGUUCUGGAAUAGGUGUCCUAGUAUGAUGUGGCAAUGCUGGUAUUUAUUUAUGUUCAGAUUUAUGAAUCUGAGUAUUAGCCGUGCAUCUCUUUGUUGGAUAUAAUCAAGAUAUAAGACAUAAGUCUGUUUUGCAGUGAGUUGAACAUUUGUAGAUACUUGAUACAUUUUGUAGUGAGCUGAUCAAUUUUUUAAAAUCCCUUCCUAAAGUUUUAUUGCUACCUGAUGUUUUCAGGUUUUGCUGUUGUUGAUUUCUUUGAUCUAUUGCUAUAAAGAACCCUCGUUAUGGAUUUUUGGAUUAUAGAUAUCAAGAAUUUAUUAAUUCCUUUAAUCUUCUUUUAUUGAUCAGUUAUCGAGACUUGUUUGCAUAAUUUUUGGAUUAUUGGAUGUAGUUCUUCAUCAUUGGAUAACCGAGAUACGUGUUUAUCCGUUUUGCAGCGAGAUGAAUCUAGAUCAAUUUUGUGAUUCUUGAAAAUUUGGAUAGCAACAGAGAACGGUUCCAGAUAAAUCGAAUGAACUGUGAACUUGAUUUUUAUUCCUUGAUUCUAAAGUUUUGUUUGUUCGUGAGAUCCGUCGCUCAGUUUUGUUUGCUUCGUCAUGUUUCGAUUUCAGGAUUUGCUUUGUUGAUCUGUUGAUCUGAAGAAGUCUAUUGGAUAUAAGUUUUGAUAAACUGGAUAACAACAUAGAACAGCUCCAGAUAAAAAUCAAAUUGAACUGUGAACAUGUGUUUCUUGAUUUGCUCUUGGAUUUUGGUUUCAUGAUUCCAAAAUUUGAUUUUUCACGUUUCUUGAUUUGUUAUCUUGAUUGUUUACUCUGAGAAAUCUUGAUUUCAGGGAUCGUUGUUCUUGUCCAUUCAUGCUAUGGUUUUCUCAGAUUGUAGAUAUGAAGAAUUUUACAUGAUAACACUUCUAUUCACUCUACUUUUAAUGCAUCAUCGGUUAUCAAUAUUUAUUUCAAUAACUUUUGUAUAUGAUUCUCAAUUGAUAAUCGAUAAUCGAGUUAUACAUUUAUCCGUUUUGCUUUUGCAGUGAGUUGAAAAGUUUUUGAUGUCUAGAGCAGACUUGAUACACAAUAGAUAAGAUCGGAGAACGGUCCGGAUAGAUAAAUAAAAUUUCUUCAAUGAAUCUUUUUUACUACUUUUAUUUAUUUUUCGGAUUUGAUUUUAAGACGCGAAAUUGAAUUAAGAACAUGCUUUUCUGCAGUGUGGUUUUUCAAAAUGUUAACCUUCUUCAUAGCAUGGAGUGGAGCCUAGAAUUAUGAUUUGGUGAUCUCUAUUAAUCUUCUUCACAACAUGGUUUUGUGUAUAUGAACAAAAUAGUAUGAAUUCUGUUUUUUGUAAAUUGCUAUAACAAACACUAACCACUAUUUACAUAGAUUCAAUCUGAAGAAAAAAUAAAUAAUAAUAAGUAAUAUAAAAUCUAAUCUUUAAAGAUAUUCUAAGAUGCUUUAAUAUAAUAUCAAACAUACUAAAGAUAUUUUUGGAUAUUUUAACGGUUUGAUCUUCAUGUUAUGUAAUCUUUUGAGGUUUUAUUUGGUUGUUGGUUUUGUUCUUAAUGUUUGCUGUUCUUUGUUUAUUGAUUGAUCUGCUACUAUUAUCAAGUUUCUUUUGUCAAUUGUUUUGUGAAACAGAUGCAUGAUUAUCACCUCUCGUUGAAUUGUGAAUUGAAAACAUGUACUUGUUUACUGUAGUAUGUUUGGAAACAAUGAACUUCAAUUAUGAAGCAAUCAGGUUUAUUUUUGUACACACUUCUUCGAUUGUGAAUUAUUUUCAAUUAAUUUAUUCUCUGUGGAGUUCUAUUGUGCAAUCUUCUCGGCAAGUCAAUUUUGAUGACAAGUUUAUUCAGGUGUAGUGAAUGUUGGUAUUGAGAAGUUCAGUUGUAGGGUUUCCUUAUGCCAUCAAUACAUUUAAGUUUUUGACUUGUAAUCUGACAGUGUGAAAGUUACAAAAUUCUGGAUAAAUUGAGAGGGAACAGCUUUGUGAAGCUCUCUUCCUAACUAUGAUCAGGGACCCGGUUUGGAUGAUUAUGCUACACUUUAUUUAUUCAUAGCUUUUUCUACAACUAUUUUCACAUCGUGAUUUUAUCGAACAAGUAUGAUGUAUCAUCUGGUGUUCACAGGGUGCCACAAAAAUCUUUCUCAAUCACCUUGUUAACUUUUCUGUCUGAAGUGGAUAAAUUAAAGAUGACUUCCUCAAUCACCUUGUCAUGUUUUGCUUUCUGCGGUAUCAUCUAUUGUUGGGAUUAAUUUGGUGAUGUGAAUUUAGAUUUUAACAUCUCUUCAUACAUGAUUCUUGAUUAUUCCCUGCUACCUUGGAAGAGAUUAUCCGAUAAUGGUGAUUCAUCCUUGGGAUAUAAUUGGUCUGUAAUAUAUUUAUAUGUAUAUGUAUAUUUUUUCCCGAAUAAUUAAUUAUAUUUUGAUCAUGUUCAAGAUGGUGUUGAUUGUGUAUCCAGAUCCUUUGUACUACUCUAGGAUAGAUUACAAGAUUUUGGAAUGACUCUUUGGCCUUCCCAAGAUGAGGAAUUUUGGACAACUGGAUAUAAACCUGAUUCUGAUGAUUUGUUUGUUGGUGAUAACUUAACUUUGUUGGGGAGGUUUUCUAAAUCUUUAUUACUGUUUUGUUGUUUUUAUUGUGAUUUGUGAUUUAUGAUGAUGAUGAUGAUACUCCUAAAAAGAUACCCUCUUCAUUAUAGUGACCAAAGGACUCGUCUGUAUUUGGAAGAAGCCAAAGUCAUGUCAUUUCAUAUGGG
Molecule: long non-coding RNA, 5266 nt
Filed under: Trifolium pratense (red clover)
Lineage: Eukaryota; Viridiplantae; Streptophyta; Magnoliopsida; Fabales; Fabaceae
Description: long non-coding RNA (TPRA_LNC002322)
Source: RNAcentral